GAUGAAGAACGUAGCGAAAUGCGAUACGUAAUGUGAAUUGCAGAAUUCAGUGAAUCAUCGAAUCUUUGUACGCACAUUGCGCCUGCCAGCACUCUGGCAGGCAUGCCUGUUCGAGCGUCAUUUCAACCAUCAAGCCCUAGGCUUGCGUUGGAGCCCUGCGGCUGCCGCAGGCCCCUAAAAGCAGUGGCGGGCUCGCUAUCACACCGAGUGCAGUAGAUUACUCUUCGCUCAGGGCGUGUGGCGGGUUCCAGCCGUGAAACCCCCUACUUCUCAAGGUUGACCUCGGAUCAGGUAGGAAUACCCGCUGAACUUAAGCAUAUCAAUAAGCGGAGGA
Molecule: unclassified non-coding RNA, 334 nt
Filed under: soil metagenome
Description: partial contains 5.8S ribosomal RNA, internal transcribed spacer 2, and large subunit ribosomal RNA
Rfam family: 5.8S ribosomal RNA (bases 1-120)
Source: RNAcentral